RNAcentral lists this ribosomal RNA (1090 nucleotides) under Escherichia coli. RNAcentral's name for it is "partial 23S ribosomal RNA". It matches the Rfam family "Bacterial large subunit ribosomal RNA", at positions 474 to 1569 of the family's 2925-position model. Lineage: Bacteria; Pseudomonadati; Pseudomonadota; Gammaproteobacteria; Enterobacterales; Enterobacteriaceae. The record is from RNAcentral.
UCCUGACUGACCGAUAGUGAACCAGUACCGUGAGGGAAAGGCGAAAAGAACCCCGGCGAGGGGAGUGAAAAAGAACCUGAAACCGUGUACGUACAAGCAGUGGGAGCCUCUUAAUGGGGUGACUGCGUACCUUUUGUAUAAUGGGUCAGCGACUUAUAUUCUGUAGCAAGGUUAACCGAAUAGGGGAGCCGAAGGGAAACCGAGUCUUAACUGGGCGUUAAGUUGCAGGGUAUAGACCCGAAACCCGGUGAUCUAGCCAUGGGCAGGUUGAAGGUUGGGUAACACUAACUGGAGGACCGAACCGACUAAUGUUGAAAAAUUAGCGGAUGACUUGUGGCUGGGGGUGAAAGGCCAAUCAAACCGGGAGAUAGCUGGUUCUCCCCGAAAGCUAUUUAGGUAGCGCCUCGUGAAUUCAUCUCCGGGGGUAGAGCACUGUUUCGGCAAGGGGGUCAUCCCGACUUACCAACCCGAUGCAAACUGCGAAUACCGGAGAAUGUUAUCACGGGAGACACACGGCGGGUGCUAACGUCCGUCGUGAAGAGGGAAACAACCCAGACCGCCAGCUAAGGUCCCAAAGUCAUGGUUAAGUGGGAAACGAUGUGGGAAGGCCCAGACAGCCAGGAUGUUGGCUUAGAAGCAGCCAUCAUUUAAAGAAAGCGUAAUAGCUCACUGGUCGAGUCGGCCUGCGCGGAAGAUGUAACGGGGCUAAACCAUGCACCGAAGCUGCGGCAGCGACACUAUGUGUUGUUGGGUAGGGGAGCGUUCUGUAAGCCUGUGAAGGUGGCCUGUGAGGGUUGCUGGAGGUAUCAGAAGUGCGAAUGCUGACAUAAGUAACGAUAAAGCGGGUGAAAAGCCCGCUCGCCGGAAGACCAAGGGUUCCUGUCCAACGUUAAUCGGGGCAGGGUGAGUCGACCCCUAAGGCGAGGCCGAAAGGCGUAGUCGAUGGGAAACAGGUUAAUAUUCCUGUACUUGGUGUUACUGCGAAGGGGGGACGGAGAAGGCUAUGUUGGCCGGGCGACGGUUGUCCCGGUUUAAGCGUGUAGGCUGGUUUUCCAGGCAAAUCCGGAAAACCAAGGCUGAGGCGUGAUGA